This 489-nucleotide ribosomal RNA is filed under the name uncultured bacterium. RNAcentral's name for it is "partial 16S ribosomal RNA". It matches the Rfam family "Bacterial small subunit ribosomal RNA", at positions 30 to 506 of the family's 1533-position model. The record is from RNAcentral.
AUUGAACGCUGGCGGCAGGCCUAACACAUGCAAGUCGAACGGUAACAGGAAGAAGCUUGCUUCUUUGCUGACGAGUGGCGGACGGGUGAGUAAUGUCUGGGAAACUGCCUGAUGGAGGGGGAUAACUACUGGAAACGGUAGCUAAUACCGCAUAACGUCGCAAGACCAAAGAGGGGGACCUUCGGGCCUCUUGCCAUCGGAUGUGCCCAGAUGGGAUUAGCUAGUAGGUGGGGUAACGGCUCACCUAGGCGACGAUCCCUAGCUGGUCUGAGAGGAUGACCAGCCACACUGGAACUGAGGCACGGUCCAGACUCCUACGGGAGGCAGCAGGGGGGAAUAUUGCACAAUGGGCGCAAGCCUGAUGCAGCCAUGCCGCGUGUAUGAAGAAGGCCUUCGGGUUGUAAAGUACUUUCAGCGGGGAGGAAGGGAGUAAAGUUAAUACCUUUGCUCAUUGACGUUACCCGCAGAAGAAGCACCGGCGAACUCCGU